UGCUUGGCGUUCAUUUUUAUUAAAUUUACAAAAACAUACAACAUCUGUGAAGUAGGCUAACUUGAAGACGACAUACUGUACCAAAACCAUAACUUCACCAGAGCAUAGUUUUUACUAUGGUAACCAGCGCAAACUCAGCCACUAUAGCUGUCAUGUGCAGAUCCCCACAUGGGUGUACACACGGUUGGUGGAUCUUUCUUGUGCAGUUAUGGAUUACGAGGCACAUUUUGUGUAACCGACGCUUAACGAGAAGCCUUGUGGAGAUGACUCAUCUACAACAUGCCUCGUGAAAUGUUUGUUCUCGUGUAGUUGACCGAAAGGAAACAAAGGUAAGCCAUUGUUUUCAGUUGAGCAUGAUUUACAUUUUAAUGUUUUAGCAUAUAGGGAAUUGAAGCAACUAUUUUAGAGGCUUUUUUCUAAAUACAACGUUCUAGAUUUGUUUUCAUUUCCCCCUUCACAUUCUCUUAGCGCUGACUUCGCUGACAGUACACAAAUUAUGCGGGAAUUAUGCGAGAUGUCCGUUUGUCGGUCGGCGAGACACGCGUUUUGGUAAACGUUUUAAUUUUACCACGGGCCCGGACUUCGCUAUACUGACUUAAUCCAUUAAUUUGUCAAAAAUAAUUUCGUGGAGCUAGCCUAUAUGAAAUAGCCUAAUAUGUUAUUUUGGAGUAUAUUCAUGUUAAGCAUACAAUGUUGAGUAACUAUUAUUAUCCUACUUAUUAACCGUUUCAAAGGAAACGAAACAGUGCAGUGAUAAAUUCAUUAGCAGUAAAGCUAACCUCAAGCCGCAUGGAUAAAGAUGAAUAUAUAACUUCGGAAUUAAGAGGGUAGCGCAAAAGAUAAAAACCACUAACAGGCUUUGCGAAUGUGACUAGGAUCAAAUCAAUCAUGCAUUUGACUACCAGACAAAUUCGUUUUAAAAACGAACAAUGCAUUCAUACAUGUGACAAAUAAUUGAUUCCACUCAGUAUUCAUAUGGGAUUUUAGCUUGACACCUUUGAAGACAAAUGCAUUUUACAAAGUAUGAGAUAAGAAAACGUUAGACUGGAACAAAGGGAAAAAAAUAAAAACUUCAGUUGGUGCCACCUAGGGGCAUCACUAGAAAUGAAUGGAUAGGUGGGGCUAAGCCUCGUUUUGGGGGGUGUGUGUGUGUCAGGGCCUGGGCGGAACCCAAAAGCAGACACGUAGUGACAGUGAAGGGUGAUUAAAUCGACAGCAAGAUGUAGGUGAGUAUGGAUGGAGUGCUGGCAGGGAGGAUGGCGUGCAGACGGUUGCAGGUGUCCAGGUAGACAGGAAGAUGAAUGCAGAUUAGGGCGUGGUAGCUGAUCUGGUCCUGGAGGCAGAAUCCAGGUAAUCCUGUGACGGAACGGAAAACAGGUUGGAACAAAGCAUAUAACGAACAGGUAAGUGAGACUAAGCAUACAAAGUACGACUAACGAUCCGGCAGGGACGAGACGUCAGGGCUCGGCUUUAAGUGCUGCCGGUAAGUGGUGGGAUCGGGAACAGGUGCCUGAUCAUCAAGGGGAAACAGCUGGCACCGGCAUCACCCCGGAGUUGACGCCACGCCCCCUAACAGGUUGCCAGGACACACACUCAAUCACGGGGGCGUGGCGUCAACUCAUAUUUUCAUCAUGUAUUUUGAGAGUAGCAACGGUUGUAAAAUGUAUUAAAAUAAAGUUAUAUUUUGUGAAGGUUGGCUAAAACUACACAGGUCUCAUAGUUUGUGUAAGACACUGUUCUCAUGAUUUAAAUUAUAUCCAAAUAAAGAAACUAAAGUCCACUACAUCCAACAGCAACUAAAGGCACAUAAAAACUGCCAAAAUACUUUUGUCAACAAGGCCUAUAAUUAGUAGUAAAUGAACAUCUACAUAUAUAUUCUAUAUAGGCUAUUCAUCUCGGGAAGGAGGUCAUUAAAAAAAGAAACAUUUAACAACCUGAUCUCGCUUUCUCUGAACAGAAUACGUUGAAAUACCUUAACUUCAAACCCAAACAAACAUACAUCUGUGAAAUACGGAUAGUUUUGCAACGGUGUUCAGUUGAAAUUGAAGAAUUGGAUUUAACUAAUCUAUUAUUGGCAUAUCCAACCACAAAUUUGAAAAACGUCUUGUACCGAG
Molecule: long non-coding RNA, 2114 nt
Organism: Esox lucius (northern pike)
Lineage: Eukaryota; Metazoa; Chordata; Actinopteri; Esociformes; Esocidae
Source: Ensembl